RNAcentral lists this long non-coding RNA (454 nucleotides) under Anas platyrhynchos platyrhynchos (common mallard). Its description in RNAcentral is "lncRNA (ENSAPLG00000024654.1)". Lineage: Eukaryota; Metazoa; Chordata; Aves; Anseriformes; Anatidae. The record is from RNAcentral.
AGGCUGGCGGCGUCAGAGAGGCCGAGGAGGUGCUCCACCGAGUCGAAUUUCUGCAGGUCGGAGGCGAUGGUUUGGAGGCUGAGCACCGAGAGGGCGUCCGGCGGGGGUCCCUCGGCCCCCAGCAACCCCCCGGCGGCGUUGGAGGCGGCGGGCGUGGAUCUGCUCGCUGAUCUGCUCCAGGUUGCGCAGGGCCACGGCGUAGCGGGUCUUGGCCCGCGCCACCCGGGCCUCCAGCGCCGUCACCGCCGCCUUGUGCUCCUGGGGAGGACAGGGAGAGGGAGGGAGAGGGAGGCCGGGGCGGUGGGGACCGCGGGGGGAGGUUUUCGGGGGGGUUUGGGGAGGAAGAGGAGGAGGAGGGGAGAUGGAGGAGGCCAUGAGGAGGAGGAGGAGGAGGAGAGGAGGAGGAGGUCAAAGGGAGAAGGAGGAGGCUGAAGGGAAAAGGAGGCCAGUGAGG